GGGUGUAACUCAGUGGGAAAGCAUGUGCUUAGCAUGCAUGAGGUCCUGGGUUCAAUCCCAGUACAUCCA
Transfer RNA from Camelus ferus (Wild Bactrian camel), 69 nucleotides. It matches the Rfam family "tRNA". From Rfam's summary of the family: Transfer RNA (tRNA) molecules are approximately 80 nucleotides in length. Their secondary structure includes four short double-helical elements and three loops (D, anti-codon, and T loops). The record is from Rfam. NCBI's taxonomy places the organism in Eukaryota, Metazoa, Chordata, Mammalia, Artiodactyla, Camelidae.